Molecule: non-coding RNA, 198 nt
Organism: Caenorhabditis elegans
Lineage: Eukaryota; Metazoa; Nematoda; Chromadorea; Rhabditida; Rhabditidae
Source: Ensembl
UGUGUCUUGUCUUGACUUUCUGGCGGUCCCAGUUGUUUUCUUCAAAAAUUUCCUGUUAGUAUUAAAAGGGGACCUAGAUAAAGUUCAUCUCAUUAGUCAGACAGCUUGAAAACGAACAAUGGCUCAUUUGAAAUGUUCGUGAUUUUCAGUAUUAUAAGCUUUAUUACAAAGCUGAAUAAUUGUUUUGAGAGUAUUACU